Molecule: transfer RNA, 74 nt
Filed under: Candidatus Omnitrophica bacterium CG_4_9_14_0_2_um_filter_42_8
Lineage: Bacteria; Pseudomonadati; Candidatus Omnitrophota
Also listed under: 1 other name
Description: tRNA-Gly
Rfam family: tRNA
About the family: Transfer RNA (tRNA) molecules are approximately 80 nucleotides in length. Their secondary structure includes four short double-helical elements and three loops (D, anti-codon, and T loops). Further hydrogen bonds mediate the characteristic L-shaped molecular structure. tRNAs have two regions of fundamental functional importance: the anti-codon, which is responsible for specific mRNA codon recognition, and the 3' end, to which the tRNAs corresponding amino acid is attached (by aminoacyl-tRNA synthetases). tRNAs cope with the degeneracy of the genetic code in two manners: having more than one tRNA (with a specific anti-codon) for a particular amino acid; and 'wobble' base-pairing, i.e. permitting non-standard base-pairing at the 3rd anti-codon position.
Source: RNAcentral
GCGGGUGUAGUUCAAUGGUAGAACGCGAGCUUCCCAAGCUCGUAGCGUGGGUUCGAUUCCCAUCACCCGCUCCA